Molecule: long non-coding RNA, 1251 nt
Organism: Ixodes scapularis (black-legged tick)
Lineage: Eukaryota; Metazoa; Arthropoda; Arachnida; Ixodida; Ixodidae
Exons: 2
Source: RefSeq, a predicted model, not a curated record
AUGAUGGCUGGCUCAUUGUUUUCUGCCUUCUGUUUAAAGCAGGCAACAAUGGCAGAGACGGAGGAGACAUGACCAAUCCCAUGGUACAAAUGAUGAUGUGCUACCCCUGCGAGGACGACGCAAACAGACUGGCCUGAGUGUUGUCUGCUCCGUGUCGGACGACAUCCGCACCACUGCAACCUACGCUAAAGCCAAGUUUUCUCAAAGGAAUAAAUAUCUCAGGAACAUUAGUAUGCAGCGAGGUCUACUAAAUAGUACAUAAAUAAGCCAUUGAGUAUGUGAACAUUGUGCAAACAAUGCCAUUAUUAUUUAACAGAGGUGAACCAUGAGAAACGCGCACAUCCAGGUCUGUGCCAAUCAUGUGGACACCGCUGAACCAACUUUUGGAGAAGACAUUGCUCAAGUCAAGGACUGACUGUGCAUGGAAAAAACAAAGAAAACGUAACAAUGCACCUGACAUAGUAAAUUGAUGUUUGGUGCACUGAAGCCGUAGUAGCAACUGCGCUGUCGUUUGCGCCUACAUUGUCAGCUAGGGUUAGCAGUUUGCUGAUCCAUUUCAUAAAGAUUUAAAUGGAGAUAAUAUUGGACAUGUGGUUUUCCUAGAUGAUACUGAAGAAGCCUUUGUUUUCUCUCACUAACAAAAAUGAGACAGAGUCUGCAAAAUGGCGGGCCCUUGCGCGCUGCCAUCUUCCAGCUCGGGUGCACCCCAGAUAAUCCGAUUAUGAAGGCUUGCUAAAGCGUCACUAAGCUAAUUGACAGAUUGGUACCCUGAGAGCACGUUUCCCUACCCAUGGUGGCUAGACUACUUUUGGAAACAUGACUGCUUGCAAACGUGUAUAGCUGAUUGUGUCAUUCAGCUAUAUGGUAAUGUACCUUACACCAAAGAGUGCUCGGUGGUGUAAAACAAAAUGUACCACCUUUCUUUAAGAAGUGGUCAAUCCUAACGCUGCCCAAACCAUUCCACAUAUAAAGCAGAGGACAGGUUCAUAAAAAGUGCUAGGGUUAGAGUGCGCAAACAGCAAGCAUUCUAAUGUAUCCUUUGACCAGAAAGCAUAGAUAAAUAAACAAAAUAAAUUAAAUUGUAAAAUAAAAAUGACUAGUACAGCAGAAUUAUGCAAACAUGAGGUUGCAGCAAUACAAAGCAAACAUAUGCACCGUCAAAUUAAAAAUAUCCACUUCACCAUCCCUUAGGCUAUAACUGUCCUUGUGCGAGGAAGCAUACCACAACUAGCAGCUUUGUAAAAUUAAAAA